This 468-nucleotide ribosomal RNA is filed under the name uncultured bacterium. Its description in RNAcentral is "partial 16S ribosomal RNA". It matches the Rfam family "Bacterial small subunit ribosomal RNA", at positions 28 to 507 of the family's 1533-position model. The record is from RNAcentral.
GACGAACGCUGGCGGCGUGCUUAACACAUGCAAGUCGAACGGAAAGGCCCUGCUUUUGUGGGGUUCUCGAGUGGCGAACGGGUGAGUAAAACGUGAGUAACCUGCCCUUGACUUUGGGAUAACUUCAGGAAACUGGGGCUAAUACAGGAUAGGAGCUCCUGCUGCAUGGUGGGGGUUGGAAAGUUUCGGCGGUUGGGGAUGGACUCGCGGCUUAUCAGCUGGUUGGUGGGGUAGUGGCUGACCAAGGCUUCGACGGGUAGCCGGCCUGAGAGGGUGACCGGCCACAUUGGGACUGAGAUACGGCCCAGACUCCUACGGGCGGCAGCAGUGGGGAAUAUUGCGCAACGGGCGGAAGCCUGAUGCAGCAGCCCCGCGUGCGGGAUGCCGGCCUUCGGGUUGUAAACCGCUUUGGCAUGUGACGAAGCGUGAGUGACGGUAAUGGGUAAAGAAGCACCGGCUAACUACGUG